UACUAAACGCGUUCAGGUACCCAAUAUCGAAAAUCAAAUCCGAAUUUUUGGUCUCGUGUGCUCGUGUGUACCAAAUUGCGAGCGUAGCUGUCUCUCGCUGCAUCGAUCUAUUCUUUGUGAAAUUGAGGAUGAGAACUAUGCAGACUCGCAAUUUAGCUCGGAUUAUUCCCGUUUCUAUACUUGUCAAUCGUAUCGUCCGUCACAUGGGAAUUUCUGGAUCAACGAGUUAAUCUGCUAUUUGAAUGAGAGAAGUGCAUUAUCUGAGAGGCUACUGAAAAGUUGGGCCGGCAAACUUUAAAUCGGGUUGUAAAUUAUGUUGUUUCUGGUAAUACAGAUUUUACGUAAUCAGAACAAUAAAUGUUGAGUGGGGGUAGUGAUUUAUACGUAAACUAAUAUUUUUGCCUUUUGCUUGCCUAUGUUGCUUAUUUAUUUUCCAGGAAUGUUAUGCAUAGUCUGAUUGUUUUUUGAUGCCUACUCAAGUAUAGCUCUGCAUUCCACCAGUGGUGUUCUGGCAGUAAUUUGCAGGCUUGUGGUUCAUGAAGUAAUUACUCAGGUGCUGCCAGCAUUGGAAGAGAGAAAAGCCAGUAUUUGUAUGAUUGUCGUAGCUGUAUGUUCCCUCCACUGGCUCUUCAAAUGUCAUUAUACACUGAUGUGGCAUCAGUUACUGCGGGUGUGCCGCACUUUCGUCAUAUUUGAUGCACACAGAAAAGAACUAUCUAUUUAGUGCAGUGCUUGGUGAUUUUGCUGUUUUUGUGCGGCAAACAAAUAUGUUUGGAUACUUUUUGUCGCAUGCACCGGAAUUAUUGAUAAUACCCUGUUGUUCAAAGAGAAAAAGAGCAAUAGAUGCCUUCUGUCUAUUCCAUCAAAAAGAAGAUUGAUUAGCUUCUAGUUAAAACUGCUGCUUCAGGGUCCAACCUGAGACGCUGAAGGUUCGGCAGCUCUGUAGAUUUUUUCAAUCAGUCAACUUUUAGAAGUUCUUGUUCAUCCAAUUCCUCAGGUGCUGAUAACACGUGCAAGGACUGGUGAGCCAAGUAUGUUUAAACUUCAAAGGUGUUUGAGUUUAACAAUUUGGCAUGCCCCGAGUGACCAUGUCCGUGUUUUAAACAGUGGUCUUAGAUUUAGUGUUGAAACCAUGUUUGUCAAUUGUCAUACAUGUACAAUGCAGCUGACGGGAGCUAACAGAAAGUAAGCGUUGUCAUUACUGAAGGUUAUAUCUGUCAACCCUGGAAUGUUUUGGAACCAACAUGGAAUAUAAUGAUAUUAGAUUUUGUAAAAUAUUUUGAAAAGUAGGAUGUGCCAUAUUAUGUUUAAAUCUAGAUUCAAUUGAAAGACUGUAUGUCAAGUUUUAUGAGGAAAUUAGAUUGUUUGUUUAUAAGUUUCCCAAGUUGCAUCGUCCUCACUUGGACACAGCCCGACAAAUUUACCCGAAGCCUUUGUAUUUGCUCGCUAGCCGCCUGGUUUUGAUCUGCUUAAGCUGCUAAAAAUUAGUAGAGCGUGACGUUAGACAUGUGAUUAUGAUUGUUUAGUUCAUUCAUGUGUGUAUUUACUACACGUCACAUAUAUGUUUCAGUUUCUCUAGUCUUAAAUGGUCGAAAUGCCCUCAUAUAUUAUCGUCAUCCCUUGAAAAGGUGAAAGUGCACCAGGUGUUAUUGCCGCUGCCUCCUCGUAUCUGUGAAAAGGGUUUUUUACACUAAGGAUUUCAUCAUAGAAACCCCCCAUCUCCCAUCCGCCACAACUCUCACCUGGAAACAAACACGAGGUCAGAUGAACACAUACUCUGUUGACUCAUAUGUUUACCUGCUGACAGUCAUCAUCUACAAUUUUCCAUAUACAGUAUAUGUGUGUAUAUUUGAGAGCAGGGUCUUGGUGUGUGUGUUUAAUAACCCGAGUUAAAUGUCCCAUAUAUGUUAUGGAAUUUUCGAGCAAGCUCUGUACGAAUAAAGUAAUGAAGUAUAUAUAGUAAAUGGUAUGUUCUUCAUUAUUUUU
Long non-coding RNA from Daucus carota subsp. sativus, 1986 nucleotides. RefSeq lists it as uncharacterized. Lineage: Eukaryota; Viridiplantae; Streptophyta; Magnoliopsida; Apiales; Apiaceae. The transcript has 5 exons. The record is from RefSeq and is a predicted model, not a curated record.